Non-coding RNA from Pelobates cultripes (western spadefoot toad), 550 nucleotides. NCBI's taxonomy places the organism in Eukaryota, Metazoa, Chordata, Amphibia, Anura, Pelobatidae. The record is from the annotation of a GenBank genome assembly.
CCCAGCGUAGGCCUUUGUGCACACGAUUCAGUAGAUUGUGCCCAGGAGUUAGCUAUAUCACACCCACAAAAUAGUUUAACAUGCAAGCUUUUACUAUCUAGUGGGAACUAUUUAAAAAUAAAUCCCAUGUCACUUCUGAGGCUCAGCAGAGCUACUUGUCUCCACAUCAAAGCUUCUUUUGUUACAUAGUUAUAUAGGCCGAAAAGAGACAUGCUGCUAUCAAGUUCAGCCUUUGUCACAUCUGUUUUUGCUGUUGAUCCAAAAGAAGGGAAAAAAACAUUUUGAAGCACUUACCAUUUUUACAAAAAUAUUAGGAAAAUUUUUCUUCUCAACCCCAGAAUGGCAGUCUGAUAGUUCCUUGCAUCAAGAAGCUGUUACCAUACCUAUUAGAAAAUUAUAUUCCUGAAUAUUAUACUUUUGCAAAUAUUAAUCCAGUUGCUGUUUAAACAUCUGUAUCAGACACUGAUAACCCCACCAUAUCAUGCAGAAAAUUCAACAUGUUCUUAGUGUAAAAAAAAAAAUAAAGUCCUUUCCUUUGUCUCAUACUAAA